CUUUAAAGCUAUUUAUAAAUAGUGGCUAAUUGUAUUCAUAUUUCAAAAGAAACUUAAUUGUAGGAAGGAUGAAAACGAUACAUUUUAUCUUUUUUGCACUACUUAACUUUGUUGUGCCAAUUGAGCCUUCUCAGGAUGUGAAACAAAGUAUACAAAUUUUAAUAGUUGAUAUUUAUGCACAAUUAUUUUUCUUUAAUUUAUAUCUAAUAAGUUUUUUCAUUUAUUUACAGUUGGGGAGACAGAAGAAUCAAAGGCAAGUAUUAGGGUAGAUAGCUAUGCAUAUUGGCCG
This 289-nucleotide long non-coding RNA is filed under the name Trifolium pratense (red clover). Its description in RNAcentral is "long non-coding RNA (TPRA_LNC014005)". The record is from RNAcentral. Lineage: Eukaryota; Viridiplantae; Streptophyta; Magnoliopsida; Fabales; Fabaceae.